CAGUAGCCGCGGUAAUACGUAGGUGGCAAGCGUUGUCCGGAAUUAUUGGGCGUAAAGGGCUCGCAGGCGGUUUCUUAAGUCUGAUGUGAAAGCCUCCGGCUCAACCGGGGAGGGUCAUUGGAAACUGGGAAGCUUGAGAGCAGAAGAGGAGAGUGGAAUUCCACGUGUAGCGGUGAAAUGCGUAGAGAUGUGGAGGAACACCAGUGGCGAAGGCGACUCUCUGGUCUGUAACUGACGCUGAGGAGCGAAAGCGUGGGGAGCGAACAGGAUUAGAUACCCCAGUAGUCCCUGUCUCUUAUAC
This 301-nucleotide ribosomal RNA is filed under the name uncultured bacterium. RNAcentral describes it as "partial 16S ribosomal RNA". It matches the Rfam family "Bacterial small subunit ribosomal RNA", at positions 509 to 807 of the family's 1533-position model. The record is from RNAcentral.